GGGGAGUUUCCCUGCCCAGGCUCUCUUCUCUUGUCUGCUGCCAUGUGAGACGAGCUUUUAACCUUCUGCCAUGAUUUUGAAGCCUCCCCAGCCACGUGGAACUAUGAAAAAUUUGGAGUCUAGUGAAAAGAAGUGACUUGCUCAAAGUCACACAGCACAUGAAGAACAGAGCCUCUAUGAUGAAUUUCUUGACAGCUGAUAUAAGUCUUUUGAGGUACAGCCUGGCACAAAAAGGAUGAGAUUUGUGGGCAGAAUUUUGGAAGAAUAUCUCCCGAGAGAACAUUCAGGACAGAUUGCACUGCUUUGGAGAGCUGGUGAUGAAAUCCGGCCAUUGAAUUACACUGCACUAUAAACUUCAUUUGUUCUUGGGUGCAUAGUGAUUUGCUAUAAUAAUGAUCAUCCAUUUGCCAGACAGCUGAGAUUUUUUAAAAGCUUGAUUGCUUUUGGCAUGGCAUUAUUAGUCCUGGAAGAAGGCAGCACAUUUGUAGCAAUUCUCAGCUUGAGCAAACUAGAAUAUUCACCUCCCACAAAUGCUGGCCAUUUAAGAUCUGCGUGUUAGACUUUGGCAUUUUUUCUAGCAAUUCUACAACAGCAUACACACUUUUAUUUUUCAUUAACACCAUUGUGAAUAUGCCCAUCUCUAAAAUUUCAAGGGGGUUCACUUAAGCUACUGAGUUUUAUGGACAGAAGGGCCAAGAAAAGUCCCCAAAGAAGAGUGCAUGCUGUCAAUUGUCAAUUUUUUUUUUUCUAAUGAAAGCCAAACAAUUCCAGACAAACCCUUUUCUAAGAAAUGAACUACAUAUCUGGAUCCAAAUAAAUACUCAUCUGAUAAGAAUCUAAAAGCUCUACUGAAUUACAGUGGAUGAGAACAUGAUGAUGGUGAUUCUUUGAAGAUUACUGAGGAAAUCAACUCUCAUGUCUGAUUCUGAUACUUUUUUAGUCCAUCCAUGUUGAAAAUGUCUAUGGAAUGAUUCUGUUGUACCUUGAGAAAUGAAAUUCGUAGGCAUGGAUUCUCUCACACAGCAACUUUAUACACAAAGAUGAGAAUAGAAGAAAGGUCAUUUCCAAAGAAAGUGACAUUUAUUCUGUAUUCACUGAAAAGCCAAAAGAAUUUUCUCAUUCACCCAUACCGACAGAGCCCUGCAUCUCCCCGAGAAGAGGUGAAAGAGACUGCUCCUAUCUGCUCCUGCAUCAAACUUCAGGCUCAAGACCUAUCCAGAAAAAAAAAUGUCUUCUUUCAGGGAUGAACCUGCUGUCCUCAUCAGAGGCCUUAUUUUGUUUAGAAUUCAAGCUCACUUGACAG
Molecule: long non-coding RNA, 1303 nt
Organism: Gorilla gorilla gorilla (western lowland gorilla)
Lineage: Eukaryota; Metazoa; Chordata; Mammalia; Primates; Hominidae
Exons: 4
Source: RefSeq, a predicted model, not a curated record